AAUACACGGCCAAUUAUUUUCCUCUUAAAUUUUAUUUUUUCUUCCCAGUUAUCAAACACAUAUGGAACUUUCAGCAGUUUUGUGGUCUACCUACCCUUCCUUAAGAUUGUAUUGUGUUUAAACAUCCCAGAAGGAUGCCUGACUUUUCUAACCUCUGUGAAGGUCUAGGUUGCUUACUCUCCUUCAUGGGGAUAUGUGCCAAAGACAGCGAACAAAGAAAGGGGAGGGAAUGAACUGUCUCAGGUGUUUUACAUUGCCUCCACUUUGGCCAUUUUCCCAUUUGAAAAUACUCCUGCCAGGUAACAGGUCAGUUUUUAAGCAGUUAUGAAAUCAUAGAAACACUUUUAUUGUAGG
Manis pentadactyla (Chinese pangolin) is the source of this 354-nucleotide long non-coding RNA. RefSeq lists it as uncharacterized. The record is from RefSeq and is a predicted model, not a curated record. The transcript is spliced from 3 exons. NCBI's taxonomy places the organism in Eukaryota, Metazoa, Chordata, Mammalia, Pholidota, Manidae.